UACGGGGGGGGCAAGCGUUGUUCGGAAUUACUGGGCGUAAAGGGCUCGUAGGUGGCCAACUAAGUCAGACGUGAAAUCCCUCGGCUUAACCGGGGAACUGCGUCUGAUACUGGAUGGCUUGAGUUCGGGAGAGGGAUGCGGAAUUCCAGGUGUAGCGGUGAAAUGCGUAGAUAUCUGGAGGAACACCGGUGGCGAAGGCGGCAUCCUGGACCGACACUGACACUGAGGAGCGAAAGCCAGGGGAGCAGACGGG
Molecule: ribosomal RNA, 253 nt
Filed under: uncultured bacterium
Lineage: Bacteria
Description: partial 16S ribosomal RNA
Rfam family: Bacterial small subunit ribosomal RNA
Source: RNAcentral